AAUGAACGUUGGCGGCGUGGAUUAGGCAUGCAAGUCGCGCGACAAGGAACCUUCGGGUUCUGGAGGAGCGGCAAACGGGGUAGUAAGGCAUCGGAACGUACCCUCUUGUUGGGAAUAGCCGCGGGAAACUGCGAGUAAUGCCCAAUAAUCCCUACGGGGCAAAGGUCCGCCGCAGGAGGAGCGGCCGAUGUGAUACCAGCUAGUUGGUGAGGUAAUGGCUCACCAAGGCUUAGACGUCUAGGGGGUGUGAGAGCAUGGCCCCCACCACUGGGACGUGAGAUACUGCCCACGACACCUACGGGUGGCUGCAGUCGAGAAUCUUCGGCAAUGGGCGGCAAGCCUCGACGACGCAACGCCGCGUGCGGGA
RNAcentral lists this ribosomal RNA (367 nucleotides) under uncultured bacterium. RNAcentral describes it as "bacterial SSU rRNA". It matches the Rfam family "Bacterial small subunit ribosomal RNA", at positions 29 to 408 of the family's 1533-position model. The record is from RNAcentral.